AGUGGGGCUUCCAGCAUGGACAGCUGGGUCCCAAGAAGACCCGGAGGAUGUACCCUAGCCUUGGAUGUCCCAUAGCGUUACCUCCACGUGCUCUGCUGAUUGAGACAAUCUCAGAGGUCAGCCAUGUCAAGGGGAGCGGACAAGACCCCCAAUUUGGUUUCUGCGAGAGCAUAUGGAAUGGGGUUGUGUUGCUGCAUUUUUAGCAAGUGCAUCAUAGCAGGACAUGUGGGGCUGCCAUGCACCCCGAGACAAGGCCUCACCCUGCCUGGGCCUCUCGGGGUGCAGUGCAUGGGCCGCCCACCGCUCUGGGAGGACUCCCAUUCCCACGCCCUUCCUGAGCAGAUGGCCUGGAGCGGUCGGUCAGCUCCGGCAUGUGGACUUGACCAAGGGUGUGAAGCUGCUUGGCCUUUGUCGAUUUGCUGAGCCUCAGAAGAAAUCAAAAUGACCUCCAGUAAAGCUGCUCUUUGUGGCAGAGAUGAAAAGAUCUGUGGCUGGAGCCGUGUGGAGAAGUUGCCACAUGUGAGUUUUGCCCCUUCUUUGGUGGCUGCCCGCAGCAAAGCAAGUGGGAGUUGGCCAGAAUGAGAAGGGAAGACCUCCCACCCACCAGGAAGGAGAGGCGGGUCCUGCAGGAGGCCCAGCAGCCUUGGAACCCCUUGAUUUGCUGGGCCAGACCCAGGAGAUAUGAAAAAUUCGGAGAAGGAGAGUGAGAAGGAAAAGAAAUCACCCACAUUCUCACCAGCCAGAGAGCCUCCGGGGACCUGUCAUUUCAUGUCUUGGAGUCUUCACUCCGUGCUUUUAAACCUCUAGCUGUGGGCAUCUGAUUGGGGUCCUGCUUUAUGCUCACCACCACAAAAGUGUUUUGCUCAUGUUCUUCCAGACUCAUUAUGUUAAUGAUGUGCUAAAUGCCCUGUCACAUGCCCGCUGGUCCCCCGCUGCCGGACAAUUAGGUUGCCUCUAAUUAGUUACUUUUCCAAGGAAAGCUGCCCCAAAUAUCCUUGUGCUGGAGUGUUUUCCUAUAUUUAGAAUUAUUUCCUUAGGAGAGACUCUCGUUAGUGAAAUUUCUGGGUCUAAGUAUGAAUUUUUUAAAGCUGAGAGGAUCUUUGAGGAGGCCGUAGAACCAGAGCUCUAUUUGGGUGUGGGCUUCACACCUUUCUGCAGAGAUCUGGCCUCAAAUGUGGAGCUCACCUCCCAACUGCUCAGUUCCCUAAUUUCAAAUGUACUAAUUACGCAGGAUGUAAAAGAUGAUGAAGGCAAAUUCAGAUACACCAAAAUUAGCACAUUUCAGAUGAUGUAAGUCCUAUCAUAUGGUGAUCCCCAUGACCCCCAAGUCCACUUCAGUGUCCAGGGGUGCCGCAGUCUCCAGUUGGCUGUCCUGGAUGUGAGGGGUGUGGAGUCAGAACCCCGGCCCCCCCACAGUCACCUGCACAGGCCUUGGGCCUGGGUCCUUGUGGUGCCACACUGGGCUAUCUGUGGGGGUACAACAGCUGCCCCAAAGAUAUCCGUGUCCUGUUCUCCAGAUCCUGUGACUGUGAGGUUGCGAGGUAAAGGGGAAUUAAGUUUGCUAGUCAGUGGGCUUUGAGAUGGGGAGAUGGUCCUGUGGGCUCCGAGUGAUCACAAAGGUCCCUGAAGGUAGAGGCGGGAGUGGGGAGGGGGCAAAGCAGAGAUGGCAGCAUAAGGGCCAGCCAGCGCUGCUGAAGAUGGGCCAUGAACCAAGGGAUGCGGGUGCCUCCCGAGGCUGGGAGAGGCAAGGAACCGGAUUCCCUGCCGGAGUCUCCAGGAGGAAGCAGCCCUGACAGCGCUUUGAUUUUAGCCCAGUGGAAGCUGCAUCAGAACCGUAAGGAAAUGAACUUGUGUUGUUUCGAGCUGCUGAAUCUGUAGUAACUAAUACAAUAUUAGCAACAGGAAAGGAACACCCCAUCAGAGCCGUCCCCAGCUGUCUCUGCCAUUCCUCCUGCUCACAGAGCCGCCAGCAAAGUGGGGGGCGUGGGAGCCAUCAAGUGACAGGGAAGAGAUGUGACCACCAACUCCUCAAUGGAAGGAUAUCUGGUGACUUUUUUUUUUAAAUUCUCUUUUUUCUCCAGAUCUUCUACAGUUGUCACGGAUGACCUUAAUUGUGACAUGUAAACAAAACAACAUGCAUACAUAACAACAAAGUAAAUAAAAAUAACUUCCUUGAAAGCAUGCUGUGGUAUGGAGCUCUCAACAAGAAUAGGUUAUGUCUGGAUCUAAUACAACAAAAAAUUGCUCAUGGUGUAUUGAUCCCAAAGGCAAGUUGCAGGACACUGUACAAGAUAUGAUGACCUAUUUUGGUUAGAAGAAAAUCCUUAACCAGGAUAAGUUUGUGCAGAGCAAAAUCUGGACCAACACCAGUAUACAUGGGCCAUUAGCAGAGGGUCUUGUGGGAGGGGUCCAUCCAACGGGAGACUGGAUCCAGGCCCCCGGGAGCCGGCGAGAGGCAGUCUGGGCAGUUGGGCCCUCUCUAAUUAGAUGGAUGAGGAGAGCUCAGGGCCAGCUCUUGGGGUGGGUCCGGGCUCCCCCCUCUGGGUGUUGGGUGGUGAGCAUUUCACAGAGCCUUGGUGGCCCCUGAGGAAAUUCUUCCAAGGCACUGGCCAGGUUUUCAACAGAAGAGAAGCCAUGAGCUUUUUGAGUGGUAUCCUUGGUUCCCCAAAAUCCGGAGGCUCAGCUUCCCUCCCCCAGUAGCCACGGCUAACUGCCAGCCACCUGCCACAGGCCCUGUGCCAGGAGACACUCAGUGCUGCCCAAGGCCCAGAGCCAGCGCCCCUGCCAAGCAGGGAGAGGGUGGAAGGCCUGUAUGUCCUUUAACCUCUUCUUUAAAAAAAAAAAAAAAACCCAAUAUAGAAAGUCAUACAAAACAGACACCUUGAUGAAUUAUGAAGUAUCGGAAGCAGGUUUGCCACCACGCAGGAGCCCAGCCAUGCCUGCCUCCCUCCCUGGCCCCGAACGACCUGCUUUGUGCUUCCUCACCAACCAUCACCUGGGACCCUGUGGCUCAGUCUGGCACCUUUUUAGUUUGCACCAUCUUUUUGGUCUUGCACAGAGGUUCCCAUCCUUCCCUUUCUUUUCUGAGCAAAGUGUUUUGGAGAGGCUGGGCCGGUUAACCUGGAGGGUUUCCCACGGCCUGGCUUUCACUGUGCAUCCAGCAGUGUCCUUCCACGAAUUCUGCAUCGCCUGCAAACUUGCAGCUGGAGCCAGUGGUCUGCUCAUUCAGUCCUUCAUUUUUAAACGUGAUUCCUUUUCACUGAUUUCAUUUUUAGAUGUAACUAUUGGAACAGGACUACAUUGGUGUGAUUCAGUGAUGAGAAAGCAUUAAGCAGUCGUAGUAAGAAGCCCUUUUCUUACUCCCACCUCACCCACCCAGCUGGCCACCCAGGGAACUGCUGCUGUGGUUCUUCAUGCUUCUCUCUAGAGUUUCUUUAUAUACAAGCAAAUAUGCACAUACACUACCCCCCUUUAAAACCACCUUAACUACUUCUAAGCAUGAGGUUCAGGGGUAUUAACACUCACUGUACAGCAUCACCACCGUCCAUCCACAGACCUCAUUUCAUCUUCCCAAAUUUAAACUGUCCCCAUUGAACACUGACUCCCUGUUCCCCUCCCCCAGCCCCUGGCGCCCAUCAUCUACCUGCUGUGUCUAUCAUUUGACUUCUUGGGGCCUCAUACAAGUGGAGUCACACAGUGCUAUCUAUGGCCUGAAUGUUUGUGUCCCCCCAGAAUGCACAUAUUGUAAUCCUACCUGCCACGGUGAUGGUGUUAGGAGGUGGGGCCUCUGGGAGGUGGUUAGGUCAUGAGGGUCUCAAGAAUGACGUUAAUGCUCUUAUAACAAGGAUCCCAGAAAGACCCCUUGCCCACCAAAGAUUUAAGAUCCGAGUAUGUCAGAGCUUUUUAAAGCUCCUGUAACAUCUCUCAUUCCUCAGUUUUUCCUUCUGGGUUAGUCUGUUAUUUGUUAUCUGUUUAUUACCUAUUUAUCUAUUAUUUUGGUUGGUCUAUUAUUUGCCCCAGCUGUUCUUCACUGCCUCGGAGCAGCUACAGUGCUAAAACCCUUGUUUGUAAAUAUUUUCAACAAAUGCUCCCCAGGGAGAGGCUUUUAGCACUGAGUGAACUCAGAGUUACAUCAAAUAAAGGCAAUUUUUUUCCCCAAAGGGGACUUCUGGGGAACCACCGGACAUGCCCAAGGAUGCCAGUCCUGUGAGAAGGAGACUUUGGAGGCCCUUGGCUCCGUCCUGUUCCUUUUGGGACCAGGAACAUGGGCUGUUGGUUUUCAAGGGUGGCACUGAGCUGGCAAGUGGGAGAUGGCACAAGGCAAGUUAAAACUCCAUGGAGAUUUGCUAUUCCUGCUGAGAUUCAGUCGUUUUUCUUGAAUAAACAUUCCCCAGGCUGCUGCAAGCCUCUGGUUAACUUCCAGAGUCUGAAAAAAGUUGAUUCUGAUGAUUUCUGCCAUCACUGCUUCUACAGAGGGUGAAUCUUCAAAGGGUCUGACUCGGCCAGUUUUGCUCCCAUCACCUCCUCAGUCACUUUGACAGCUGUGUAAUGUUCCACUGGUCAGAUGCAUUGUAACUUAUUUAACCCAUCCCCUGUGGUUGGACACGGAGGUGGUUUUCCAUCUUUUGCAGGUGCAUACG
Manis javanica (Malayan pangolin) is the source of this 4640-nucleotide non-coding RNA. The record is from RefSeq and is a predicted model, not a curated record. NCBI's taxonomy places the organism in Eukaryota, Metazoa, Chordata, Mammalia, Pholidota, Manidae.